RNAcentral lists this unclassified non-coding RNA (3308 nucleotides) under Hevea brasiliensis (rubber tree). Lineage: Eukaryota; Viridiplantae; Streptophyta; Magnoliopsida; Malpighiales; Euphorbiaceae. The record is from RNAcentral.
AACAUGGGUCUCCUCCCUUUUAGGUUAGGAGCCCAUGCAAUGCAAUGACCCACUUGUUUUUUCUUGCAAGCUACAAGCCUGCAAUUCUUCUUUGGGAUCUUUCUUCUAUUCUCUCUUCAUAUUUUUCAUUGUUUUUAAUUUUUAAAUAAAAUAUAAUUAUAUAUAAUCAUAAAAUAAUUAUCCAGUUGCAAUUUUAUGAUAAGUAGGUAUAUUGAAAAUCUGAAAUUGGAACCCGUUACUGUUUUAAUAUAGCCUGUACAGGUUGAUUUGCAGCAUGAGAAACGCGAUCUUUUCAAAACGGAGAAGGUACUUUCACCCCCAUCUUCCUACCGAUCUGUGCUCUUUCUUUGCCCCUCCAGAACAGGGGACGGCUCCUCCUUGGACCAGAAUAUAGAUUCCUCUCCACCUCCAGAUUGGAAUGUAAAUAGCUCUAUUUUUGUGUGGUUUUACUUUACAGGUCUUUUGAUGUUUUGGUGAGGGUUAGUUGAACAUUUGCCUGGCUUCUGUUGACUCUAACAGUGCAGUCGACCGGGUUGUGGUUUGUGUUUUGACUCUGUGGAUGAUUUGUCACAAUUAGAGCAGGCACCUUUUGAGCUUUCAUGCUGACUGUCUAGUGGUAGUCGACCCCUAACGCUAUAAGAGAGUGAGAAGCUAUGAGCUAUGCAUGCACCACCAUCCAAUGGCUGCUGGUGAUGGGUCUGGGUUGUGGAGCAUAGGAGGUCUAGGCAUUAGGGGAAGGAAGGCUCGAUAAUUGGUCAAAAUGCUUUAUUCAAAAAUGUGACAACUCGUGUUUGGUACUUCAGGGGCCUUCUGCUUGUCGGGACUGUUUCUCUCUGCUACCAAAGAAUUAGAUGGCGAAAGGAGCUUGGUCGGUCUCUGCAUUCCUUUCUUAGCUUAAGGUUUCUUGUUUUAGGCGCUGGGUCUUACUCUUAUUAGCCAGAAUUGAUAGGCCCCCUAGCUGCCCCCUAUUUCAUAUUCUCAAGUCUGGAGUCUUACUAUUGAAUUGUGGAUUUGGGCCUUGGCCACGUACUGAUUUUCUCUACCUAACGAAAUUUCUCUUUCAAAUCGUUUUAGCUUUUGGUUUCCUUCUUGGAGAUUUCCUGAAAUUUUGGUAAGAAAGUUAAGAGGUUGGAAUUGACAAAGAUGAACUGAAAAUAUGACGUCGUUCUUCACUCAAACAACACCCUUUCUAAGCCCAUCUUUACCGCCAUGCGGCGCAGGUUUUGCUCUGUGAUUGAAGGAAACAUUGACAGGUUUUCGAGUUCGAAAAUCGAGUGAAAAUGGGGCUGUAGGAACUAGGAAUUCCGAGUACAACGACGUGUCGUUCCCUUCUGACCUUUCCCAGUCUGAUAAUUUUCUUCCUCUCUUACAGGACAUGGGUUAUUUCUUUCUUGCUGGCAUAUCUCUCCAAAUUUUAGCUCCUUUACAUGCACUACCCUUACAAGUUCUUUAAUUCUGAUUUAUUUUGGAUUCAUUUUGAGUUUUCUUUUUUAAAAUUUCAUCUUUUUCUCAAUCUUAAUACAAAUUUUUAUUUGUAUAGAAUCAUAUGAAUACUGGAAGAAGGCAGUGAAUUUGAAUGAUGGGUGAAGAAACUAUCUAUUCUUUCAUCCAUUCAACAAAUUUCUUGAAAUUUUGGUAAGAGCUACCACCUUCAUUGACACUGUUUAUGACCAUUUUCUUGAGAUCCAAAGCUCUUGCUUUAAAUUCCCCAUUGCUCAAUAGUUGCUCCACCUUAUUCUUGAUUUCUCCUUGCAUAAUCCUCCCAAUUUCAUCUUUGUCAAAUCCUAAUCCAAUCUUCCAAAUAUCACAAAUGUAGCUCUGGUUCAAGAACUGGUCAGCAAAGUAAGGCCAGCACAAGAAAAGGAUCCCAUUGCUUACACCUUCCAUGGUAGAGUUCCAGCCGCAGUGACUCACAAAACAAGCAACAGAUGGAUGGGCCAGAACUUUCUGUUGAGGUGCCCAAUCAACCACCUUGCCCCUUGUGCCUACUCUGUCUUGAAAUUCUUUGAGGAAGGCAUCGUUUGUCCCCUUCCUUAUAUCUGACCUUAUCACCCAGAGGAAUGGUUUGUUACAACGUUCCAAUCCUAAAGCCAAUUCUUGAAACUGUGCUGGAUCAAAAACAGUGAAACUUCCAAAUGCAACAUAGAUGACAGAUUCUGGUGGCUGCUGAUCGAGCCAUGCCAGACAAGUUGGGUCCUCUGGCCAGAAAUUUCCUACCGAAUCUUCCUGUCUGUUGCUUGCUAAAAGUGGGCCUAUAGGAAGUACCUGUGGAGCCAAGUUAAAUGCUCCAGGCUCAAGGUCAUAAGUUGAGUUGCAGAGCAGCCAGUCUGUCAACUUGGCAGAUUUGUUGUUCCUAACCAUCAGUCCAAAAAUAUUCUUCUGUGCUUCCUUGUUGCCAAGGCAGGCCCACACAAAGUUGGCAGGGUACAUGGCUGGCAUUGUUGGUGAAAUCUGAACUAUCUGCUUUUGUUUUGGGGUUCCUGUAAUUGGAAAUAAAAUCUCAUUCUGUAAUUAUUUCUUAAAGACAUAUUAAAGAAGAGUUUCGACUAAUAAGAAAGUUAGCAAUACUAGAAUAGCCCACCAUGCUCAUCUAUGAUUCCAUCUUCUAUCAGCUUUGGGAUGCUGAAUCCCAGGACCAACUGUGCAGCUGCUGCAGGACAGAAGGCAGCACGACGAAUUCCUCUUUUUUCUGCAAUUUCCAAGGCCCACCCGAAACUCUGAUCGGCGAGGAUACAGCUGAUCUUAUCACUGCCUGAAGAAUUAAUUUCUUCAAUAAGCUCCUCUACUUUUCCUGGCAUAACCCUCAAGAUUGCUUCAGAUGACUUCCCAGGCUUAUUCUUAUCCUCUGAGGAUUGGAUUCCGUCUGGAACUGAAACUAGUUGAAUUUGAUCCCCAAUAUUACCCUUUGAGGUAUUCUUGAUCAGCUGAUGAUAAUACUCUGUGAUUACAAAUGUGAUUCUGAAGCCAUAUUUGGCUAAGCAUUUAGACAGCUCCAUAAGGGGAAUAACAUGGCCUUGCGCUGGAUAAGGUAUUACUAGAAUGUGUAGAUUGACCAUUCUGCUAACUCUUCUGGUGCUGCAGUCUGCAGAUACCAUAUGCUACUCUCGUAUAGUUUUUUAACUUUAAAUUCAUUUCACACUAUAAUUAAGGAGCCCAGAAGGAAAUGGCCAACACUGGAGAAACUGUCUUCUUGUGUGACGCUGAAUGGAAUCUUGAAAUUGGCAUCCACUAUUCCUCCUUAACUAAGAUAAAAACAAAUUAGUCUCUCGGCUUAUUCUAUUCAAUUACUGAAAUUUCUCUUUAUUUAG